UCUGGCAAAGAAGGGCGUGCUGAUCCUAUCGGACAUCCUGGCCAACUCCGGCGGAGUGAUGGUGAGCUACUUCGAGUGGGUGCAGAACAUUGAGGGGUCCAUGUGGGACGAGGAGAAGGUGAAUCGGGAGCUCAAGACGUACAUGACCCGUGCCUCAAACAUUUAGGCAGUGGGGGUACUAAAUAUGAGCUUCUAUCUACAAACUUUUGUCCGCGAUCUAUUUGUGACGACUUCUCUCAAGGUAGGAGCCACUUUUGUAUGUAUACUUCUCUUGAUUCGUUCUAUGUUGUCAAGUUCUCAUUCAUUUGGUGAUCUUCUGUAAUAUUUGUGUUCGUUGAUCAUGGCCAAGUAAAUCAAAUUGAAUUUCCUGUUAA
This is a long non-coding RNA of Triticum aestivum (bread wheat), 374 nucleotides long. RefSeq lists it as uncharacterized. The transcript has 2 exons. The record is from RefSeq and is a predicted model, not a curated record. NCBI's taxonomy places the organism in Eukaryota, Viridiplantae, Streptophyta, Magnoliopsida, Poales, Poaceae.